This 402-nucleotide ribosomal RNA is filed under the name uncultured bacterium. Its description in RNAcentral is "bacterial SSU rRNA". It matches the Rfam family "Bacterial small subunit ribosomal RNA", at positions 355 to 774 of the family's 1533-position model. The record is from RNAcentral.
UGGGGAAUCUUGGACAAUGGGGGAAACCCUGAUCCAGCCAUGCCGCGUGAGUGAAGAAGGCCUUAGGGUCGUAAAGCUCUUUCACCGGGGAAGAUAAUGACGGUACCCGGAGAAGAAACCCCGGCUAACUCCGUGCCAGCAGCCGCGGUAAUACGGAGGGGGUUAGCGUUGUUCGGAAUUACUGGGCGUAAAGCGCGCGUAGGCGGGCUGGAAAGUUGGGGGUGAAAUCCCGGGGCUCAACCCCGGAACUGCCUCCAAAACUAUCAGCCUAGAGUUCGAGAGAGGUGAGUGGAAUUCCGAGUGUAGAGGUGAAAUUCGUAGAUAUUCGGAGGAACACCAGUGGCGAAGGCGGCUCACUGGCUCGAUACUGACGCUGAGGUGCGAAAGCGUGGGGAGCAAACA